GCGUGCAGGAUGAAGGCCUUCGGGUUGUAAACUGCUUUUGUACAGAACGAAACGGCUCUUUCUAAUACAAGGGGCUAAUGACGGUACUGUAAGAAUAAGCACCGGCUAACUACGUGCCAGCAGCCGCGGUAAUACGUAGGGUGCGAGCGUUAAUCGGAAUUACUGGGCGUAAAGCGUGCGCAGGCGGUUAUGUAAGACAGAUGUGAAAUCCCCGGGCUCAACCUGGGACCUGCAUUUGUGACUGCAUAGCUAGAGUACGGUAGAGGGGGAUGGAAUUCCGCGUGUAGCAGUGAAAUGCGU
RNAcentral lists this ribosomal RNA (300 nucleotides) under uncultured bacterium. Its description in RNAcentral is "bacterial SSU rRNA". It matches the Rfam family "Bacterial small subunit ribosomal RNA", at positions 399 to 691 of the family's 1533-position model. The record is from RNAcentral.